AACUUAGCGGCGGACGGGUGAGUAAUGCUUAGGAAUCUGCCUAUUAGUGGGGGACAACGUUUCGAAAGGAACGCUAAUACCGCAUACGCCCUACGGGGGAAAGCAGGGGAUCUUCGGACCUUGCGCUAAUAGAUGAGCCUAAGUCAGAUUAGCUAGUUGGUGGGGUAAAGGCCUACCAAGGCGACGAUCUGUAGCGGGUCUGAGAGGAUGAUCCGCCACACUGGGACUGAGACACGGCCCAGACUCCUACGGGAGGCAGCAGUGGGGAAUAUUGGACAAUGGGGGGAACCCUGAUCCAGCCAUGCCGCGUGUGUGAAGAAGGCCUUUUGGUUGUAAAGCACUUUAAGCGAGGAGGAGGCUCUUCUAGUUAAUACCUAAAAUGAGUGGACGUUACUCGCAGAAUAAGCACCGGCUAACUCUGUGCCAGCAGCCGCGGUAAUACAGAGGGUGCGAGCGUUAAUCGGAUUUACUGGGCGUAAAGCGUACGUAGGCGGCUUUUUAAGUCGGAUGUGAAAUCCCU
Molecule: ribosomal RNA, 520 nt
Filed under: Acinetobacter sp. P2G5
Lineage: Bacteria; Pseudomonadati; Pseudomonadota; Gammaproteobacteria; Moraxellales; Moraxellaceae
Description: bacterial SSU rRNA
Rfam family: Bacterial small subunit ribosomal RNA
Source: RNAcentral